GGGAAUCUACCGAGCCCUGCGGAAUAGCUCCGGGAAACUGGAAUUAAUACCGCAUACGCCCUACGGGGGAAAGAUUUAUCGGGGUUUGAUGAGCCCGCGUUGGAUUAGCUAGUUGGUGGGGUAAAGGCCUACCAAGGCGACGAUCCAUAGCUGGUCUGAGAGGAUGAUCAGCCACAUUGGGACUGAGACACGGCCCAAACUCCUACGGGAGGCAGCAGUGGGGAAUAUUGGACAAUGGGCGCAAGCCUGAUCCAGCCAUGCCGCGUGAGUGAUGAAGGCCCUAGGGUUGUAAGGCUCUUUCAACGGUGAAGAUAAUGACGGUAACCGUAGAAGAAGCCCCGGCUAACUUCGUGCCAGCAGCCGCGGUAAUACGAAGGGGGCUAGCGUUGUUCGGAAUUACUGGGCGUAAAGCGCACGUAGGCGGAUAUUUAAGUCAGGGGUGAAAUCCCGGGGCUCAACCUCGGAACUGCCUUUGAUACUGGGUAUCUUGAGUAUGGAAGAGGUAAGUGGAAUUGCGAGU
This 520-nucleotide ribosomal RNA is filed under the name uncultured bacterium. RNAcentral's name for it is "bacterial SSU rRNA". It matches the Rfam family "Bacterial small subunit ribosomal RNA", at positions 120 to 674 of the family's 1533-position model. The record is from RNAcentral.